UCUUUCAAUACAAAUAAAUAGAAGUUAGGGGAAAAUAAUACACAUACAUACAUCUUAAAAUGAGAAAAUAUAUUACUAAAUGAUACUUACAAAAAAGAAAACAUAAAGAAAAAAAGAAGCAAACCUAUAGCAAACCGAAAGAGAGAUGUAAAUGAAGAAUAAUUAUUUUCUUUAUUAACUUCCCACCAACAUUAAAUUAUGAAAUAUCAUUGGAAGAACAUGUUUUUUUUUUGAAGUUUUCACCAACAUUAAAUUAAAUGAUAUUGGUUUCCACCAAUUUAUAGUCGUUUUAUUAUGAGAGUGGAUCAUUAUUCACAACCUUCAAUAUUCAUCUAUCCCUCCACAUUAUG
This 350-nucleotide long non-coding RNA is filed under the name Lathyrus oleraceus (garden pea). Its description in RNAcentral is "Pisum sativum (pea) long non-coding RNA (PSAT_LNC037098)". The record is from RNAcentral. Lineage: Eukaryota; Viridiplantae; Streptophyta; Magnoliopsida; Fabales; Fabaceae.